RNAcentral lists this ribosomal RNA (1507 nucleotides) under Saccharum spontaneum (wild sugarcane). RNAcentral describes it as "bacterial SSU rRNA". It matches the Rfam family "Bacterial small subunit ribosomal RNA". Lineage: Eukaryota; Viridiplantae; Streptophyta; Magnoliopsida; Poales; Poaceae. The record is from RNAcentral.
AGAUUUCGAUCCCGGUCAGGUGCACGCUGGCGGCAUGCUAAACACUGCAGUCGAACGGGAAGUGGUGUUUCCAGUGGCGACGGUGAGUAACGCGAAGAACCUGCCCUUGGGAGGGGAAACAACAACUGGAACGGUUGCUAAGUACCCCGUAUGCCUGAGGAGUCAAAGGAGAAAUCCGCCAAGGAGGGCUCGGGCGUCCUGAUUAGCUAGUUGGGGUGAGGCAAUAUCUUACCAGGGAUGAUCAGUGCUGGUCCGAUAGGAUGAUCAGCCACACUGGACUGAGACAACGGCCCAGACUUCCUACGGGAGGGCAGCCGUGGUGGAAUUUCCGCAAUGGGCGAAAGCCUGACGGGCAAUGCCGCGUGGAGGUGGAAAUGCCUCCUACGGUCGUCAACUUCUUUUCUUCUCGGAGAAGAAACAAUGAACGGUAUCUGAUGAAUAAGCAUCGGCUAACCUCCUGUGCCAGCAGCCCGCGGUAAGACAGAGGAUGCAAGCGUUCUCCGGAAUGAUGGCGUAAAGCGUCUGUAGUGGCUUUUCAAUCCCCGUCAAAUCCCAUGGGCCUCAACCUGGACAGGCGGUGGAAACUACCAAGCUGUAGUACUGUAGGGGCCAGAGGGAAUUUCCGGUGGAGCUUGAAAUUCAUUGAGAUCGAAAGAACACCACUGCGGAAAGCACUCACAAAAAGAAAAAUUAAAAAGAAUGAGGUAAAAAGAACCGACAACUUGACACUGAGAGACGAAAGCUAGGGGAGCAAAUGGAUUGAGACCCCAGUAGUCCUAGCCGUAAACGAUGGAUCUAGGUUCUGUGGGUCGACUCUCCCGUGCAGUGCUGUGUUAACGCGUUAAGUAUCCCGCCUGGGGAGUACGUUUCGCAAGAAUGAAACUCAAAGGAAUUGACUGGUGCCGCACAAGCGGUGGAAGCUUGGUUUAACUUCGAUGCAAAGCGAAGAACCUUAGCAGGGCUUUGACAUGCCGCGAAUCCCUCUUGAAAGAGAGGGGUGCCCUCGGGAACGCGGACAAGUGGUGCAUGGCUUUCGUCAUCUCGUGCCGUAAGGUGUUGGGUUAAGUCUCUCGCAACGAGCGCACUCCUCGUUUUUAUGUUGCCCUAUGAGUUUGGAACCCUGAACAGAAAACCGCCGUGUUAAGCCGGCGGAAGGAGAGGAGAAGGCCCAAUUCAUCAAUGCCCCUUAUGCCCUGGGCGACACACUGCUACAAUGGGCGGGAAAGGGUCGCGAUCUGUAGGGUGAGCUAAUCUCCAAAACAAAAAACCCCGUCCUCAUUUCGGGGAUUUGGCAGGCUGCAACUCGCCUCAUGAAGCGGAAAUCGCUGUAAUCGCGGUCAGCCAUACGGCGGUGAAUCCGUUCCCGGCUUGUACACACGCCCGUCACACCUUAGGAGCUGGCCAUGGUUUGAAGCCUUACCCUUAACCGGUAGGAGGGAUUGCUACGGCGAGGCCUUGCGACUGGAGUGAAGUCCGUAACACUGUAGCCGUACUGGAAGGGCGGCUG